UAGCGAAGGGGGGCUAGCGUUGUUCGGAAUUACUGGGCGUAAAGGGCGCGCAGGCGGCCCUCCAAGUCAGGCGUGAAAGCCCCGGGCUCAACCCGGGAAUAGCGCUUGAGACUGGGGGGCUUGAGUUCGGGAGGAGGAGAGUGGAAUUCCCAGUGUAGAGGUGAAAUUCGUAGAUAUUGGGAAGAACACCGGUGGCGAAGGCGGCUCCUCGUCGGACCGACACUGACGGCUGAGGCGCGAAAGCGUGGGGAGCAAACAGG
This 260-nucleotide ribosomal RNA is filed under the name uncultured bacterium. RNAcentral's name for it is "partial 16S ribosomal RNA". It matches the Rfam family "Bacterial small subunit ribosomal RNA", at positions 522 to 776 of the family's 1533-position model. The record is from RNAcentral.